GGGGAUAUAGCUCAAUGGAAGAGCAAUUGAUUGCAAAUCAACUGGUCCCUGGUUCGAAUCCGGGUAUCCCUU
Non-coding RNA from Pecten maximus, 72 nucleotides. NCBI's taxonomy places the organism in Eukaryota, Metazoa, Mollusca, Bivalvia, Pectinida, Pectinidae. The record is from the annotation of a RefSeq genome assembly.